This 76-nucleotide ribosomal RNA is filed under the name Pseudoalteromonas sp. SR41-1. RNAcentral's name for it is "partial 23S ribosomal RNA". The record is from RNAcentral. Lineage: Bacteria; Pseudomonadati; Pseudomonadota; Gammaproteobacteria; Alteromonadales; Pseudoalteromonadaceae.
UGGAAGUGGUGUGAGCCAUUAAGCUAACUUGUACUAAUUACCCGUGAGGCUUAACCAUACAACGCCAAACGCGUUU